CAGCAGCCGCGGUAAUACGAAGGGUGCAAGCGUUAAUCGGAAUUACUGGGCGUAAAGCGUGCGUAGGCGGUUUGUUAAGUCUGUUGUGAAAUCCCCGGGCUCAACCUGGGAACUGCAUUUGUGACUGGCAAGCUAGAGUGUGGCAGAGGGGGGUGGAAUUCCGCGUGUAGCAGUGAAAUGCGUAGAUAUGCGGAGGAACACCGAUGGCGAAGGCGGCCAUCUGGGACAACACUGACGCUGAGGCACGAAAGCGUGGGGAGCAAACAGGAUUAGAUACCCCAGUAGUCCCUGUCUCUUAUAC
RNAcentral lists this ribosomal RNA (301 nucleotides) under uncultured bacterium. Its description in RNAcentral is "partial 16S ribosomal RNA". It matches the Rfam family "Bacterial small subunit ribosomal RNA", at positions 509 to 807 of the family's 1533-position model. The record is from RNAcentral.